This is a long non-coding RNA of Centrocercus urophasianus (Greater sage-grouse), 1994 nucleotides long. RefSeq lists it as uncharacterized. The record is from RefSeq and is a predicted model, not a curated record. NCBI's taxonomy places the organism in Eukaryota, Metazoa, Chordata, Aves, Galliformes, Phasianidae. The transcript has 2 exons.
AUCUGGAGAAUAAGUCUUACGAGGAGCGGCUGAGGGAGCUGGGGUUGUUCAGUCUGGAGAAGAGGAGGCUCGGGGAGACCCUAUGACUCUUUACAGCUCUCAGGAAGGAGGUUGUUGCAAGGUGGAGGUCAGCCUCUUUUUCCAGGUAACAGUGAUGGGAUGAGAAGGAAUGGCCUCAAAUUGCACCAGGGGAAAUUCAUGUUGGAUGUUAGGAAAAAUUUCUUCUCAGAAUGGUGAUGCAUUGGAAUGGGCUGCUCAAGGAGUGCUAGUGUCACCGUGCCUGGAAGUGUCAAGAAACUUGGAGAUGUGGCACUGAGGGACAAUGCGUCAGCAGAUGGGAUAUCUUCUUUAUUGGUUUUACUUGCUGGGAGAAAGCUGCAUGCAAGUUAGCAAGUAUAUCAAAUGUGGUGCAGCAGUCAGUCAGAAGUCACCAUUUUCUUCCAUCUUGCAUUGUUCUAUUGAACAGAAGAAGAGACUGACUUCAUAAAUUGCUGUAUUUCUUGCUGUGCUGUUUUUAUGUCCAAAAUAGUCUCCGUUUUAACAUUAAUCUCUGAAGUGUUUGAGUCCUGUUAGUGAAUCUCAUUGACUACCCUGCUUUUAAACCGCUCUACAUUUGAUCCCUAGAUCAUUCUACCAUCCCUAUCAAUUUGUCUCAUGAAAUUCAGAGAUAAGUGAUAUAGCUGUUUUCCUUAUCAAGUGACAGAUGCCAGUAUCAGCCUUAGCAUCAAAUAUGGGGAUAGUUAUGUUUUGCCUUUUGAGGUAAGACGUUAUUGACGGUUGGCAUUUUUAAUUGGUUUCUUUAUAAUGCAUUAAAUUGCCUGAAUUUACCCAAAUGAGUCAGCAGUAUGCCCUAGCAGACAUGAGGGCAAACUAGAUUUUGGGAUGCUUUGACAGUAAAAAAAAAAGUGAUUCUCCUAUUAUAUGUUGCCUCACCUUGAGUAUUGUGUGAAGUUCUGGGCUCUACAAUAUCAAAAGGAUGGUAAGAUACUUCAGUGCAUCCAGAAGAGGGCAGCAACAAUGGUAGAAGGAUAGGAUAUGAGGGAACGGCCUCAAGUUGUGCCAGGGGAGAUUCGGAUUAGAUACGAAAAGAAUUUCUUCUCAGAAAGAAUGGUGAGGCAUUGGGACAGGUUGCCCAGUUCGGUUGCGUAGUCACCAUCCGUGUGAGUCUUUAAAGAGAGGGUAGAUAUAGUAUUUAGAGACAUGGCUUAGUGGGUAAUGUUGGUGGUAGGUGGAUGGCUGGACUGGGUGAUCUUAGAGAUCUUUUCCAACCUUAAUGAUUUUAUGACUCUAUAGAAGGGCUGGAUGGUGUAUCCUACAGCAAGAAGCUGAAGAUAUGUUGGUUAACUAGUCUGCACAAGAGAAGGCUCACAGGUGACGUUAUUCUCUACAACUCCCUAAUAAGAGGAGGUAGCGACAGAGGUCCUGCUCUCUUUGCCCUGGUAUCCACUGACAGGAUGCACAAGAACAGCACAGAACUAUGCCAGGAGAAGGUCACACUGCACUUUAAGAAAAAAUUCUGUACUGUGAGAGUGGCCAAACACUGGAACAGGCUUCCUAGAAAGGUGACUGAUGUUCCAUGUCUGUCAAUGUUCAAGAAGCAUUUCAAUAACCCCCUUAAUAUACUGCUUUAAUUAAGCAGUUAUGAUGUUGGACUUGAUCUUUGUAAGGUUCUUUCCAAAUUAACUGUUCUAAUUUAUAAAUAUGUAGCCUUCAGUGUUUUCUGAGAGCCAUCAGUUAGCAAGUUCUGUGAAUUUUAACAAUCAAGUCUUUCUUCCCUGUCCUCCUGGUUUUUUGGUUUUUUUUUUUGUUUUGUUUUGUUUUGUUUUUUUGGUUUUUUUUGGUGAAUAUUUGUAGGUAGUCUACGGAAUAGAUGAGGUAUGGGCUUGAUCAAUUUAUCCAUUUCUACAUACAAGGUCCCUCAAAAAUACUACAGUGAUAUAUUUAUAUGAGAAAAGUGCAUAUCUAUUUACAAAAUAAAUACAGGAAAAAAAUUA